UAGCGUAGGUGGCAAGCGUUUACUCGGAAUCACUAGGCGUAAAGCGCAGGUAGGCGGUUUGGUAAGUCUGUUGUGAAAGCUCCCGGCUCAACUGGGAGAGGCCAACGGAAACUACCAGGCUAGAGUGUGGUAGAGGAAGCUAGAAUUCCCGGUGUAGCGGUGAAAUGCGUAGAUAUCGGGAGGAAUACCUAUGGCGAAAGCAGGCUUCUGGACCAUCACUGACGCUGAGCUGCGAAAGCUAGGGGAGCAAACAGG
This 255-nucleotide ribosomal RNA is filed under the name uncultured bacterium. RNAcentral describes it as "partial 16S ribosomal RNA". It matches the Rfam family "Bacterial small subunit ribosomal RNA", at positions 523 to 776 of the family's 1533-position model. The record is from RNAcentral.